This 253-nucleotide ribosomal RNA is filed under the name uncultured bacterium. RNAcentral's name for it is "partial 16S ribosomal RNA". It matches the Rfam family "Bacterial small subunit ribosomal RNA", at positions 524 to 776 of the family's 1533-position model. The record is from RNAcentral.
UACGGGGGGGGCAAGCGUUGUUCGGAAUUACUGGGCGUAAAGGGCUCGUAGGCGGCCAACUAAGUCGGAUGUGAAAUCCCCAGGCUUAACCUGGGAAUUGCAUCCGAUACUGGAUGGCUUGAAUCCGGGAGAGGGAUGCGGAAUUCCAGGUGUAGCGGUGAAAUGCGUAGAUAUCUGGAGGAACACCGGUGGCGAAGGCGGCAUCCUGGACCGGCAUUGACGCUGAGGAGCGAAAGCGUGGGGAGCAAACAGG